This is a long non-coding RNA of Heterocephalus glaber (naked mole-rat), 1214 nucleotides long. The record is from Ensembl. NCBI's taxonomy places the organism in Eukaryota, Metazoa, Chordata, Mammalia, Rodentia, Bathyergidae.
CUUGGGACCUUGCACUUUUGAGGCAGGUGGCAGAACCACUGAGCUAAAUCCCUGGCCCCAUGGACAAAUAUUUUUGUUUUUGCUUUUUACAGUCCUGUACUGGGGACUGAACCCAAAGAUGCUCUACCACAGAGCUAUAUCUCCAGCCCUUUCUAUUUUUUACUUUGAGACAGGCUCUUGCUAAAUUCCUCAGGCUGGCCUUGAACUGGUCCUAUCUUAGCCUCCUGAGGAGCUGGGAUUACAGGCAUCUGCCCCUGCACCGGCCUCACAGACGAGUUUGCAAAUCUCAGUGCACUUUUCUGGGGAGAGGGCCCUAAAUUUCAUCCCGCUUGUAGAAUGGAAACCCACAACGGCAGAGAUCUGGCCCUGUUUUGUUCAGCAACAAUCCCAAGCAACUAGAACAGCACCGCACCAGGGAGGUGCUCGGGAAAUGCUAUUGAAUGUGUGACGAGGGGACCCAGAAUUGGCUCACAGAACUGCCCUGAUGAAGGACAUGCCAGGACUUUGCUGGGUUCCUCCAGCCUGGGGUUCUGCUCUAACUGGACACUAACAGCUCCCCAGGUGAUUCUAGGUACAGUCCAAUGGUGAUCCAGCAAGCGGCAGAGAUUGAACUUUCGAAGACUCAUCGAACCCCACCUUCUCCCCACGUCCUUGCGCCCGUCUGACCUGGUCCCACGAGGCUCGCCUGGAGAGAAUGGGUAUGAUGCAACCCUGGUGUCGUGAAAUAGCCGGGUAAGAGGAUGCGCUGCUCGUCGGCCUGAUUCACAACACCAGCUGCAGCAAGAUACCAGAACUCCGCUGGCUUCUCCUCUGGGUCGUGGCUCCUCUGGUUUUCAGACAGUGACAAACCCACACAAACAUCUUCCCCAGGGCCAGAGAGGCACCAGGGCCUGGGUCUGCAAACGUGAAAGCUGAGCCUCUGCCCACAUGGGGCUCACAGACUUGAUCACAGGGAAGAGGGAAAGAGAAAGAUGCAAAACCCUGUACAGUGCAAGAGGAUCAGAGCUGCAAUGGAGGACCAGGCCUGGGAAGAGCUGGGAAGCCAGAGGCUGGGCUGCAGCCUUUCUGGCAACCAGGACCAAGAAACUGGGAUUUCUCUUAAGCCUGCAGAGCUUGUGGUGUGUCUAUUGCAGUCCUGCUCCUUCUACCUGGACAUUGUUAAAGCAGUCCGACACUAAAGUAUUUUGAAGCUACUGGCAGCUAAAGCAAGAAGG